Molecule: ribosomal RNA, 249 nt
Filed under: Triticum aestivum (bread wheat)
Lineage: Eukaryota; Viridiplantae; Streptophyta; Magnoliopsida; Poales; Poaceae
Description: partial small subunit ribosomal RNA
Source: RNAcentral
AGGAGGCAGUUUGAGCAUGCUAACCUAGAGGCAAUGGAUGAAUCCGCUGAAUGGAGAAUGAAAUACGACACGGAAUUGGCGAAAACCAGGGACCUGCAAGAUGAACUUUUAAAGGUCAAGACCUCACUGUCUGAUUCAACCAAGAGAUUUGAAGAGUUACAAAAGGAUAAUGAGAUGUUGAAGAGGCAGACUGAAUCCAUGAAACUGGAGUGCAAUUGCACCAUUCCAUUGAAUAUUACUCAGGAAUAA